This 501-nucleotide ribosomal RNA is filed under the name uncultured bacterium. Its description in RNAcentral is "bacterial SSU rRNA". It matches the Rfam family "Bacterial small subunit ribosomal RNA", at positions 32 to 509 of the family's 1533-position model. The record is from RNAcentral.
AAUCAACGCUGGCGGCGUGCCUCAGACAUGCAAGUCGAACGCGAAAGUCCCCUUCGGGGGACGAAGUAGAGUGGCGCACGGGUGAGUAACACGUAGGUAAUCUACCUUUGGAUGGGGAAUAACAACCGGAAACGGUUAGCUAAUACCGCAUGAUGCAGCGGCACCUAAUGGUGACAGUUGUUAAAGCGGGGGAUCGAAAGACCUCGCGUCUAAAGAGGAGCCUGCGGCGGAUUAGCUAGUUGGUAAGGUAAUGGCUUACCAAGGCUACGAUCCGUAACCGGCCUGAGAGGGCGGUCGGUCACACUGACACUGACAUACGGGUCAGACUCCUACGGGAGGCAGCAGUCGGGAAUUUUGGGCAAUGGGCGAAAGCCUGACCCAGCAACGCCGCGUGAAGGAUGAAAUCCCUCGGGAUGUAAACUUCGCAAGAACGGGAAGAAUUAGUAGGGUCAUACCCCUAUGAUGACGGUACCGUUUGUAAGCUCCGGCUAACUCCGUGCC